RNAcentral lists this ribosomal RNA (253 nucleotides) under uncultured bacterium. Its description in RNAcentral is "partial 16S ribosomal RNA". It matches the Rfam family "Bacterial small subunit ribosomal RNA", at positions 524 to 776 of the family's 1533-position model. The record is from RNAcentral.
UACGUAGGGGGCAAGCGUUGUCCGGAUUUAUUGGGCGUAAAGAGCGUGUAGGCGGCCAGGUAGGUCCGUUGUGAAAACUCGAGGCUCAACCUCGAGACGCCGAUGGAAACCAUCUGGCUAGAGUCCGGAAGAGGAGAGUGGAAUUCCCGGUGUAGCGGUGAAAUGCGCAGAUAUCGGGAAGAACGCCCGUGGCUAAGGCGGCUCUCUAGUACGGUACUGACGCUGAGACGCGAAAGCGUGGGGAGCGAACAGG